RNAcentral lists this long non-coding RNA (590 nucleotides) under Canis lupus familiaris (dog). RNAcentral describes it as "lncRNA (ENSCAFG00000055734.1)". The record is from RNAcentral. Lineage: Eukaryota; Metazoa; Chordata; Mammalia; Carnivora; Canidae.
AAACACACUGGCAAAGCAGAUCUUUCUUUAGGGAUGCUUCUGUAGCUUUUUGUUUGUGUUAUUGCCUUAUUCCAUGUGGUUCUGGAUCUCAGAGCUCAGCUUUACCACUAAACCCAGAUUUUUCCCUUCAGAUAGAUCCUGAAUUCAUAGUUCCCAGACUCAUAGCUUUUUUUCUGGCCAUGAAUUUGAACUCCCUUGUCUUGCAGAUCUUGAGGCACCCUUUCUGACCUGUCCCAGUUGGAUGCUCUGAGUAUAAAAUCUCCCUGCUGAUAAAUUGGCUCAUAGGCUGUGGAAAUCUUGCUUGGCCUAGAAGAAAUGUUGCUGUGGGAAGAUCUCCAGCAAGGCAUCUCCAUAAAUCUUUUCCUGUUUUCCUCUUGAAAUACGAAAUUUGGAAGAGUCAGGUAACAUCUAGAGAAAACCGCCUAUACUUGGAGGAAUCCUAUCAGGCGAGGGAGCAUUAUUGCCACCAUUUUACUGAUCAGAAAACUGAAGUUCAGAAAUAUUGCGAUUUGCUGAUGGUCACAUAGUAAAUAGAGCCAGAGGCUGAAAUCCACGUCAUCUGACUCCUGGGGCACUGUUUCCUACCACAU